AGUCAUGCCGCGUGAGUGAAGAAGGCCUUCGGGUUGUAAAGCUCUUUUGUCAGGGAAGAAACGGCGGACUCUAACAUAGUCUGUUAAUGACGGUACCUGAAGAAUAAGCACCGGCUAACUACGUGCCAGCAGCCGCGGUAAUACGUAGGGUGCAAGCGUUAAUCGGAAUUACUGGGCGUAAAGCGUGCGCAGGCGGUUUUGUAAGUCAGAUGUGAAAUCCCCGGGCUUAACCUGGGAAUGGCAUUUGAGACUGCAAGGCUAGAGUGUGUCAGAGGGGGGUAGAAUUCCACGUGUAGCAGUGAAAUGCGUAGAGAUGUGGAGGAACACCGAUGGCGAAGGCAGCCCCCUGGGAUAACACUGACGCUCAUGCACGAAAGCGUGGGGAGCAAACAGGAUUAGAUACCCUGGUAGUCCACGCCCUAAACGAUGUCGACUAGUUGUCGGGUCUUAAUUGACUUGGUAACGCAGCUAACGCGUGAAGUCGACCGCCUGGGGAGUACGGUCGCAAGAUUACAACUCAAAGGAAUUGACGGGGACCCGCACAAGCGGUGGAUGAUGUGGAUUAAUUCGAUGCAACGCGAAAAACUUUA
This 590-nucleotide ribosomal RNA is filed under the name uncultured bacterium. RNAcentral describes it as "bacterial SSU rRNA". It matches the Rfam family "Bacterial small subunit ribosomal RNA", at positions 390 to 973 of the family's 1533-position model. The record is from RNAcentral.